UACGAAGGGGGCUAGCGUUGCUCGGAAUCACUGGGCGUAAAGCGCACGUAGGCGGCGUCUUAAGUCAGGGGUGAAAUCCUGGAGCUCAACUCCAGAACUGCCUUUGAUACUGAGAUGCUUGAGUCCGGGAGAGGUGAGUGGAACUGCGAGUGUAGAGGUGAAAUUCGUAGAUAUUCGCAAGAACACCAGUGGCGAAGGCGGCUCACUGGCCCGGUACUGACGCUGAGGUGCGAAAGCGUGGGGAGCAAACAGG
Molecule: ribosomal RNA, 253 nt
Filed under: uncultured bacterium
Lineage: Bacteria
Description: partial 16S ribosomal RNA
Rfam family: Bacterial small subunit ribosomal RNA
Source: RNAcentral